Molecule: long non-coding RNA, 5568 nt
Organism: Solea solea (common sole)
Lineage: Eukaryota; Metazoa; Chordata; Actinopteri; Pleuronectiformes; Soleidae
Exons: 5
Source: RefSeq, a predicted model, not a curated record
AAGAAGAAGAAAAAGCAUAAAGCGGAGACUGAUUGAUUGGUGACACACAACACACCUGCUCAUCUUCACGCAGGUGUUUUUCAGUCAGCUGAUGACCGCUGAUUGCUUCCUCCUCCUCCUCUUAUUUAAUCUUCAUCCAGCCAACAGUCCCGUGAUGCUACUUUGAAAAGAAACGAGCCGUGAAACGGAAAAAAAAAAAAGACGCGAAAAAAGUGUCGCUGCUUAACUACUGAAACUGUUCCGGGAGGAGGGAACUUGUGGCGGUAAUGCACCAACCGCCAUAAAACCUCAAAAAAGGAGGAAACUUAAAAAUAAAAAAAGAGAAAUAAAAAAGAAAAACUACCGCGUCCUGACGUCAGACGCCGAAAAGGUGGCCUCGUGCAUCAGCUCCUGUAUAAAAACGCAGCAUGGCGCUCCAGGAUGGCGUGUUCGGCCUGGUCCAGAUUGGUGGCCCGUCUGGAAUGGAACAACCUGCUUCCUGCUCACAGAGACCUGGUCGGACCGCCAUAUACAAAAGCCUGAGGCUGUCAAAAAAAAGAUUGAUCUUCAUGAAGAUCGUCAAAUUGUAGGUGUCAUGGUUUAAUUCUGGGUGGCCGCUGUGUCCCCACUCUUUCUUGGCCGCUGUGCCUACAUCUCUCUACAUUGUCCAACAUGGCCACGUUCUUUCUAUUCUCCUGCUUUCCAUCUGUCAAAUAGCUGAGGGUUGUAACUUGAACUGUUUUCUUUAGCACUAAAAUAUAGUGAUGUUGGAGGACCAGUUUUUAAAUGAGGUUUAAAUGGAUGUUGGUGUACAGUUAAAGCUAGAUGGUAGGAAUAAAUGUAAUGUUGUGCCUUGUACACUCUGUCACGAGGCUUAGACUUCUUGGCCGCUGUGCCUUUUUUUUUUUUCUCUCUCUCUUUUCCAUCGUGGCCAUUAAUCUAACGUUAGCCCUAGAACGUUAAAGUAGAUCCUGGUGAUCUACAUAGUACCUGGCUUUGGAUGGCAGUCCUGCCAUUGCCUUUGUAUUGCCAUACGUCCCUUAAUGCAAGUAGGUCAUCAUCGCUAACUGUGCCCGCGCCUUCAUGGCCUACUUGUGUCAUUGUACGUCUGGCCUUGCGCGUAUAGUCAUUUUACAUAGGCAAACAUGGGUGCCUUCCGCGUCCAUGCACAGUAAGUGAACUAACCUGUACUUUUCUUCUAGCAUCAGUCAAGAGGAGCACCGACAUCACUGCAUGUCCAUCCUAAUUAGAUUGCGUUUUAGUUUAAUUUCAAAUAUUAAGUGCAGUUUUUCUUUGUUGCUUGGCCGCUGUGCCAUUACUAUACCUGCUCUGACCUGAAUCUUGAUUCUUCAUGGCCACUGUCAUGACUGUACUUGGUCUUGGUGUUUAUGCCAGUCUAUAAUUUCAGAUCUGUUUUUCCUACUAAGUUUUCGUGUGUGCGUGCGUGUGUGUGUGUGUGCGAUGACUGACUUGGAGUGUGUUUGUGUGUGCGAUGACUGACUUGGAGUGUGUGCGUGUGUGCGAAGACUGACUUGGAUUGUGUGUGUGUGUGUGUGUGUGCGCGAUGACUGACUUGGAUUGUGUGUGGGUGUGUGAUGACUGACUUGGAAUGUGUGAAUGUGUGUGUGUGCGAUGACUGACUUGGAGUGUGUGAGUGUGAUGACUGACUUGGACUGACGUUAAUCUGACCUUUGGACCAAGACUAACACUCCAAUUGACUUUACUGCACCAGAAAGGUGAACAAAAUUUAUGCUGCAAGACUGGCAAGAUGCACACUAAUUAAACAACAAGCAAAUUCUUUAAAAAACAGGUCAAAUUUUUACAUUUCAGGUAAGUAUUAAAGGCCUUUGCCACAUGAUCUUUGUGGGUAAAUCGUGUCCACUUAAUUUAUAAAUUAAUUUGCAUCUAAACAUUUACAAUGCCUGACACAAUGGCAUUACAAUAGUAUAAUUUUUUUGUUUUGCGUUACUGAGUGCAAAGGCCUUUAUUUACACACUGACACAUGCCAAGACUGCUGUUAUGGCAUGUGUCACUGUCUCUCUCUCGCUGGUCUGAGAGACAUGUCUUUCUGUCUGGUCUCUGUCUGUCUCGUGUGUCUGGUAUCCGUCUGUCUGUCCUGUGUCUGCUAUCCGUCUGUCUGUCCUGUGUUGUAUUUAGUCACUUUUUUAGUCUCAACUUAAAUGGGUGAUUUUAAAGUUGAGUGGUCUUGAGGCGUCUAAUUUCUGUAGGAAAUUCUGGUACCUUAUUUUGAAAUGGCUUUAAUUUAAAAAUUAAAUUUUGGUCUUGAAUCUCAGAUAUCAUAGUUACAACUUGGACUGUUGACAAACGUGAAAGCUGACGAAUCAUUAGCAAAUGCAUCAAAGUUUACUGUAGCUUGUUUAAAGUUCUUUCAAAGUGCUGUAAAAAUGUAGUAAUUGAUUAUGAUGAGCUAGACCAGGUCUUCCUUUAUUCUCAACUGGUAAUUGCUUUGAUAAGAUAGCUGGUUCCUGAUUUGAUUAUGAAGCUUAACUUUUGAUUUAUAUGCAAGUGUAGUCACAUUAGAUUGGAGGUGUUAUUCAGCCCAUGGAUAAUGUUAUGAUAUACUUUAAAUAUCAAUACAUACAUUUAAGUCUUAAACUUUACGCACUGCCAUCAGCCUUUGUAGUCGCUAACUGAAAUCACAUUCAAUAUUAAUGCUGACUUGUCUCACUCUGCCAAGUUUAUUUCCCUCUAAAGGAGUUGAACCUUUUUGUGUUCAUAGUCUUUUUGCGCGUCAUGUUGGGAGGCCUCCCAGCAGGGGAUUUUUAUCUUCCCCUGCAAAACUAUGCGUUACUCGCCUUAGGGAUGCAGGGCUAUCCUGCAUAGUUUCUAUAUAAAUGAGAUUGUAGGUUGCAGGAUUAGAGCGUGUUUCUUUUCUUUAGGAGGACACAAACCAGGCAGAGAGAGACAACUCGGAUUAUUUAAGUGAAAGUUGCGCCAAAUGUUCGAACUUUUUAUCUUUCGAUACGAUGACUUGAAAUAAAACCUUUAUUCUGUUGGCUGAAUUCAGACAGAAAUCAGACAGAAGUUGGCUUCAUGUUAAAGACUGUUGUGCAAGUACCCUCUUGUAGUAGGAGUGAGCAGCUGCAGCUUUUUAAUUUAUUUUUUGUUAUUUGAUUUGUUUCUUGGAUUGACUUGGUGUCUGGAGCUUUGUGGUUAACAGUGAUCAUGUAAACGUGUAAACACAAGUGGUCAUUUGCCUCUGAUUUGCAAAGCUGGCAGCUGGUUGAAAUGAUAGGACUUUAUGGCUUGCCCAAAGUGGGAUUUUUGAUAGAGCAUAGGGUUGACACCUCACCAUACACUAGCUAUUUCAGCGAACAAGUGUCUGUAAUACCCAUGACUUUCUUUCAAAUUUCACAGUUUAGGCAGCUUGUAGAGUCAUUAGGAAGAUGCUUAAUCCCAAUGUCUUGGUUGGUUGCAUGAGAAACUGCUAUCUCUUAGAUGUUUUGGUGAAGUUCCUCUUCUUGAUUUUUGUAGACUUGCCCUAAAGUUUCUCUCUGCUUUAACUCUUGUUGAGCUAUGCAUUAAAUGAUUCCUCCAACUUGUCUCCAUAUCAAUUUUUUUUCUCCCUGCAGCCUUCCACCACCCACUGCUGCUGUUGCAUCUGCUAAAGGUAGCCGUAUCCUGAUUCACUGCGUCUUCAUGUGUUGGGUAAGAAGUGUCAUUAGACUACUAACAAUGUAAACACCUUUUAAAUGCUUGAUCUAAUUUACCCAAAUGGUUCAUCAGUUUAGGACAGAAAAUCCUUGAGUUUGACAUUCUUGGGGUCAGUAACCUGACCUCUAAAUGUUCGGGAAACCAUGCAAAAGAUCGCAAGCUCUCUGCAUGACCCAACAGCAUCGAUGUUUGAGUUAUUUAAUUGCUCAAUUUUUAAAUCAGUCAAGAUUUUAUGAGCUGGGUCUUCUUCACACAACAGAGAACAAGGUAAAUUGAGUCGACUCGUAACAGGGUAAGGCAUUUCGUCUUUACCCUUCUUCUCUGUGUGUGUGAGGAAAUCUGGCCACAGAUCCUGACUGAGUGGCAUACCAUGGCUGUGCAGUUUCCAAAAUCAGACAAGGAUCCAUCUGAUUUUGUGACUCGGCUUGUCAUGAUAUGCAUGUAUGUUCCUCUGAAACAAAGGAUUUGAAUGGACAGGUUUGUAGUGUAAAUCACAUCACAUCACUUGUAGACGGUGAAGCAUUUGUUUAAAUUGGGGUCAAGCAUUUUCAGGUGUCUGCUUUGUCAAUACUCUGGUGCCACGUCUUGCUAAACACACAAGAAGCUCUGAAUUGUGAAACUGCUGCCUCUUGCAGAUGUUACAACAGCAAUGGCUGUCGAAAGGCUUCAGGGAGAGAAAAUGAGAUCUGAGGACAGGAAAGUGGAAUUGAUUUCAUGCUUAGCAAAAUGAGGGUUUCAGCAGAGGACCUUUUUGUGGCAAGGCUACGGAAUCAGAAAGAACGUUUGUCUGGGCAACUGGGAGAUUUACAGUUUUUCAUGCAGCCAACGAAGACAUUGGGGUUAGCAUCAUACCAAAUGGCUGGCAAAGAUUGCCUGUAAUUGUCUGUGUAGGACAGGAAAGGCAGGUAUAGGUUAGGGAGGGCAUCCAUCGGUGAGCUCUGACUGGAUGUGAGGACCUGUCACACUUGACCAGAGAUGAAGGCUGCAGCACAUUCCUGGAUCAGAGGACACCAUGUUGGACAUCACAACCUGGAGAAGUCCCGUCCUGGAUGGCUGCGGUGAUGACCUCGCCCAAGAUGAACUGACCCUUCUACGACGAGGACUUAGCCCAAGAUGAACCGACCCUUCUACGACGAGGACUUCGCCCAAGAUGAACCGACCCUUCUACGACGAGGACUUAGCCCAAGAUGAACCGACCCUUCUACGACGAGGACUUCGCCUAAGAUGAAUCGACCUUUUCCACGGGAUGUCUUCAGAUGCUGGACCUUGCCAAACUGUACACAUGCCUCAAUGGCUGCUACGUCACUCUGCCCAACAGGACAUGGUCACUGAAAUUUUUUUGAUUUUUUUUUUUUUAAAUGGACUUUAACCCCCCCUGUCCCCACUGACCCACAACCACACAUGACAAAACACUGCACAUGUGAUGCAUCACCACACUAAAUUACAGACACUGCUACUUUCAGCCUGUUUCAGUCUGUAAAAGAUCGCAAGCUCUCCGCAUGACCCAACAGCAUCGAUGUUUGAUUUAUGUAAUUGCUCAAUUUUUAAAUCAGUCAAGAUUUUAUGAGCUGGGUCUUCUUCACACAACAGAGAACAAGGUAAAUUGAGUCGACUCGUAACAUGGCAAGGCAUUUCGUCCUUCCCCUUCUUCUCUGUGUGUGAGGAAAUCUGGCCACAGAUCCUGACUGAGUGACAUACCAUGGCUGUGCAGUUUCCAAAAUCAGACAAGGAUCCAUCUGAUUUUGUGACUCGGCUUGUCAUGAUAUGCAUGUAUUUUCCUCCAAAACAAAGGAUUUGAAUAGACAGGUUUGUAGUGUAAAUCACAUCACUUGUAGAUGGUGAUGGUGUACAGACAGUGCUACUUUCAGCCUGUAAUGUUAGACAUUGAAAACUUGUAUUUAUUGCCUUCUUUAU